Molecule: transfer RNA, 71 nt
Filed under: Elusimicrobiota bacterium
Lineage: Bacteria; Pseudomonadati; Elusimicrobiota
Description: Elusimicrobia bacterium tRNA-Ala
Rfam family: tRNA
About the family: Transfer RNA (tRNA) molecules are approximately 80 nucleotides in length. Their secondary structure includes four short double-helical elements and three loops (D, anti-codon, and T loops). Further hydrogen bonds mediate the characteristic L-shaped molecular structure. tRNAs have two regions of fundamental functional importance: the anti-codon, which is responsible for specific mRNA codon recognition, and the 3' end, to which the tRNAs corresponding amino acid is attached (by aminoacyl-tRNA synthetases). tRNAs cope with the degeneracy of the genetic code in two manners: having more than one tRNA (with a specific anti-codon) for a particular amino acid; and 'wobble' base-pairing, i.e. permitting non-standard base-pairing at the 3rd anti-codon position.
Source: RNAcentral
GGGCUCGUAGUGAAAGGGAAUCACGGCUCCCCCGCAAGGAGCAGGUCGGGGUUCGACUCCCCGCGGGUCCA